Molecule: long non-coding RNA, 959 nt
Organism: Callorhinchus milii (elephant shark)
Lineage: Eukaryota; Metazoa; Chordata; Chondrichthyes; Chimaeriformes; Callorhinchidae
Exons: 2
Source: RefSeq, a predicted model, not a curated record
GGAUUAUUAUUGUUACCUCAACUCCAAAUACCUCUGCCCCAUAUCCCCUAAUGAAAUCAAGUAUAGGUCCAGAAAUCCAGUUUAGUGCUGCCUUACCUGGAACACAGUUUGUUCAGAUGAGUUGAGCUCACAUGCUAGACUGACACUCCAGUGCAAUGCUGGGUGGGUAUUGCAUGAUCAAGGUGCUGAACCUCAGAUGAGAUGUUUAAACCAAGGUCCCAUCUGUCUGUUCAGGUGGAUGAUAAAGAUCCAGUGACACUAUUCGAAGAGAAGGGAGUUUCUCGCACCCAAAGUCCUGACUGUCAGUCCCUCAGCUGAAAUUAGGUCAUUCACUUCGUGGCUGUUUGUGGGACAUUGGUCUUUGCAAUUUGGAUAACUGAUUUGCCCACAAAAUAUACAGUCAAUCCACUUGUAUCCUGUGAAGUGCUUUGAGACGUCUCAAUGACGUGAAAGGGCCAAAUACAAAAAUUAUUAUCAUGUAAUCCUGCAUUUGGAAAUCCUUGGUUUUUUUAUUGAGAGGAAAAAAUAACUGAUUGAAAUAAAAUAGUUUAUAAGGGAAUCCCAUACUGUCUAGGCUGGGACCUGGAACACCUUUCAGGCUGUAAAUUAUUGUACGUGUAAUUAUUUUUAUGACUGACAUUUACAAGAGUAAAGAUGUAAAGCCUCCCCACCCCCAUCCCAAGUGCCUGAUUAUUGCCCACGUCCAACACACGUAUUCAGUGGCUAGUCUGUUCAGCACCCACUGAGGCAUCUGUGCACUGGCUACAUAAAGUAUUCAGUCAGUAUUGGAGGUUGCGGUGGGGGGGAAUUGCGAGUUUUAUUUUUUUGUAAAAAUCAUGUUAAUCAUGAAAUGAACGUGCCUGGUUAUGCUGUAUAAAAUGCUGCUGCAAUCUAUUCAAAGUCUACAGGACAUUGUACUUUUGUUAUCUGUUUUAUAAAUAAAGCUCCAUCCUGCAUAA